AGCUUGAAACAAAUAAAAUCUCAUAACAAACUCAAAAUUGGUGCAAGAUAGCUUCUAGUUCUGCCACGGAAUUGUCAACUUCAAUAGCAUUUUGAGAUUUCAUUCAACUGGAAGCACUUGGGGGAAUGCAUGAUACCUUCUAUCUGCAUAAAAUAUAUUUUGACUAUCGAGAGCAAUGGGAACAUAUAGGCCAGCUCAGGUUUAGUGGCGUACUAUUAAACAACUGAACUUCAUUCUCAUGAAAUUGACACAGGAGCCCCCAUAUCCUCCAUCUUUUGACGCUUGGCUUCAGGGUCUUCGCUGUUUUCAUGGUUGAGAUGGCCAUUCACCGCCUCAGGACCCAAAAGAGAGACGUGUUUGCUAGUAAUUUGACGACCUGCCCUAAUUUUUGGCCCCCAAUGCCUUUCAGGAUUUGGAAGGAA
This 422-nucleotide unclassified non-coding RNA is filed under the name Hevea brasiliensis (rubber tree). Lineage: Eukaryota; Viridiplantae; Streptophyta; Magnoliopsida; Malpighiales; Euphorbiaceae. The record is from RNAcentral.